AUGGCUCAGGAUGAACGCUAGCUACAGGCUUAACACAUGCAAGUCAGGGCAUCAGGAACAAGCUUGCUUUGUUUGCUGGCGACCGGCGCACGGGUGAGUAACGCGUAUCCGACCUACCCAGUAACUCGGGCACAGCCGCUCGAAAGAGCGAUUGAUUCCCGAUAUGUCCUUGGAGUAGAUUCAAUGAUGAAAGAUUUAUCGGUAACGGAUGGGGAUGCGUGACAUUAGGUAGAUGGCGGGGUAACGGCCCACCAUGCCUACGAUGUCUAGGGGUUCUGAGAGGAAGGUCCCCCACACUGGAACUGAGACACGGUCCAGACUCCUACGGGAGGCAGCAGUGAGGAAUAUUGGUCAAUGGUCGGAAGACUGAACCAGCCAAGUAGCGUGAAGGAUGAAGGUUCUAUGGAUUGUAAACUUCUUUUAUACGGGAAUAAAACCACCUACGUGUAGGUGCUUGUAUGUACCGUAUGAAUAAGCAUCGGCUAACUCCGUG
This 493-nucleotide ribosomal RNA is filed under the name uncultured bacterium. RNAcentral describes it as "bacterial SSU rRNA". It matches the Rfam family "Bacterial small subunit ribosomal RNA", at positions 19 to 507 of the family's 1533-position model. The record is from RNAcentral.